Molecule: RNA transcript, 4816 nt
Organism: Corticium candelabrum
Lineage: Eukaryota; Metazoa; Porifera; Homoscleromorpha; Homosclerophorida; Plakinidae
Gene name: receptor-type tyrosine-protein phosphatase F-like
Exons: 20
Source: RefSeq, a predicted model, not a curated record
GCCAACAUCGAAAUUAUUUAGUAGUCACACCAGCUCUACCAGCUGGCAUCGACAAACCUUGGUAUACCGGAGGGGUGAAACGAAGUUCCUAGCGAAGCUUCCUACGAGUUUCCGCACAAGGACUAAAGUGUCUUCGCCUGCUUUACCGUCACCGUCAUGAUUGUGUUGCGAGUACUGACGUGUUUGACUUUAGUGUCGCUGUCAGGCGGUCAGACACUGAAUCUGUAUGAGAAUGUUACACUGAGUGGUGGAUGGACUGUCUACCCUAUUAACUACAUCGUGGUGGAGAAUACGAGUGUUGCGUUAUGGUGCAAGCGGAAUGAUGGCGUCCUUCCUGCGUAUCGGAUUAGAUCGUUUGACGAGAGCUUUUUUAGAAAUGCGUUACAGAAGUUUGCGAGUGAUCCUCUGGUCACGAUUGAACCUGAGACAGUAAAACUCAAGAUUGACAGAUUCAGUAAGAAAUACGAAGGCGAGUGGCAGUGCAUUGCAGUAGUGAUUGAUCCUGUUUUUGGAGUUGUGAUUCGCUCUGGUCCAACUCGUAAGGUGGAGCUUGCAAUUGCUCCUACCAUCAGUCAGUUUACUGCUCCUAAUACCAACUUGUCGGAUUCCGUGACGAUUACUUGUGAAUCUCCUGAAGCUAAACCAGAUCCUUCUUACCUGUUCAUCAGGCGGCAGAAAACAGGAGAGAUACUGAAAAAUACAUCACUUACAAAAACUGUGAGCUAUACUAUUGACAAAGUCAAAGAAACUGAUGCUGGAGAAUACGAGUGUGUUGGUGAGAACAAGGCUGGACUUAGAAGCGGGACAGUGUAUUUUACAGUUCAGAUUGCUCCUCAUACUCUCAUUCUAAACGGACAAAACACUUACACAAUCAGUCAAAUGGAUAACAUCACAUUUAGAUGCCAGUCUACAGGCAUUCCAGUGCCACAAAUUCGGUGGUUUUGGGAUGGCCAAGUGCAAAAGGCUGGUGAGCAAGGAAACGGUACAUUGACUAUCACAUCAGCAAAGAAAAGCGACACGGCCACUUACACGUGUGAAGGAAAGAAUGAUGCAGGAGUGGACAUGGAUACAGUUGUUCUUCAAGUGAGAGUUCCACCUGAUGCACCGACCAACUUGACGGCUAAGGAAAAAGCAAAUAUUUCUAUCACUUUGUCAUGGAUAUCUGGAUCUGAGAACUUCAGUCCAAUCAAUGGAUAUGAAGUGAUAUAUAGACAGACCGGAUCUAGUGAUUGGAUGAUUGCCAGAAAUUUCAAUGACGGAGCCACAACAGAACAGCUGGUCGAUGGAUUGAUACCGUUGACUGAUUAUGACUUUAGAGUGAGAGCCAGGAAUGCUAUUGGAGAAGGAGAAUUUAGUGACAUGGAAAAACUGAUAACACAUCCUAAUGCUCCGUCUCUUGGUCCAACUGAGCUUAGCUAUAGUGAAGUUAAAGCCGUAUCAGCAAAGCUGACUUGGAAAAUUGUCAAUGAAAGCCUUUUAUCCAGCAAUGAAGGCAGCAUAACAUACUAUGAGAUGGCUUACAGUUAUAAUAAUCAAAGUAAUAUGGAAGAGAAAUUGCAAUAUACAAAUGGAGCUACUCCGUCAGGGACACUGACUGGUUUAUUGAAAGGUUCCACUUAUAAGGUGGUAGUGUAUGGCAGAAACUCAGGACUAUAUCGAUCACCUCCAUCAAAUGAAGUGUCGUUUACAACUAGCACAACGGUACCUGGCAGGGUGACCAGUCUUGGCACAACAAAGGUAACAGAGAACAGUCUCAAUAUUACGUGGGAGGAACCAACAGACACUGGAGGACAGAAUGUACAUAUAGAUGGGUACAGAGUUGAGUACCGUGCUGGUGCAUCAGGAGAUUUCACAAUAUUUCAACAAAAUCAGCAAGAAACAAUGGCUCUUAUUGAAGGACUCAUGCCAAGACAGGAGUACACAGUGAGAGUCACUGCUAGGAAUGUCAACGGUUUUGGUGUACAUGAUGAAAUUAAGAGAACAGCACGGACUGAAGCUCCACCUGAUGCACCGACCAACUUGACAGCUAAGGAAAAAACAAAUAUUUCUAUCACUUUGUCAUGGAUAUCUGGAUCUGAGAACUUCAGUCCAAUCAAUGGAUAUGAAGUGACUUAUAGACAGACCGGAUCUAGUGAUUGGAUGAUUGCUAGGAAUUUCAGGGACGGAGUCGCAACAGAACAGCUGGUCGAUGGGUUGAUACCGUUGACUGAUUAUGACUUUAGAGUGAGAGCCAGAAAUGCUAUCGGAGAAGGAGAACUCAGUGACAUAGAAAAACUGAUAACACAUCCUAAUGCUCCGUCUCUUGGUCCAACUGAGCUUAGCUAUAGUGAAGUUAAAGCCGUAUCAGCACAGCUGACUUGGAAAAUUGUCAAUGAAAGUCUUUUAUCCAGCAAUGAAGGCAGCAUAACAUACUAUGAGAUGGCUUACAGUUAUAAUAAUCAAAGUAAUAUGGAAGAGAAAUCGCAAUAUACAAAUGGAGCUACUCCGUCAGGGACACUGACUGGUUUAUUGAAAGGUUCCACUUAUAAGGUGGUAGUGUAUGGCAGAAACUCAGGACUAUAUCGAUCACCUCCAUCAAAUGAAGUGUCGUUUACAACUAGCACAACAGUACCAGGCAAGGUGACCAGUCUUGGCACAACAGAGGUAACAGGGAACAGUUUCAAUGUUACGUGGGAGGAACCAACAGACACUGGAGGACAGAAUGUACGUAUAGAUGGGUACAGAGUUGAGUACCGCGCUGGUGUAUCAGGAGCUUUCACAAUAUUUCAAGAAAAUCAGCAAGAAAAAACGGUUCUUAUUGAAGGACUCAUGCCAAGACAGGAGUACACAGUGAGAGUCACUGCUAGGAAUGGCAAGGGUUUUGGUGAUCCUGAUGAAAUUAAGAGAACAACAUCGACUGAAGUUCCACCUGAUGCACCGACUAACUUGACGGCUAAGGAGAAAACAAAUAUUUCUAUCACUUUGUCAUGGAUAUCUGGAUCUGAGAACAUCAGUCCAAUCAAUGGAUAUGAAGUGAUCUAUAGACAGACCGGAUCUAGUGAUUGGAUGAUUGCUAGAAAUUUCAGUGACGGAGCCACAACAGAACAGCUGGUCGAUGGGUUGAUGCCUUUGACUGAUUAUGACUUUAGAGUGAGAGCCAGGAAUGCUAUUGGAGAAGGAGAAUUCAGUGACAUGGAAAAACUGAUAACACAUCCUAAUGCUCUGUCUCUUGGUCCAACUGAGCUUAGCUAUAGUGAAGUUAAAGCCGUAUCAGCACAGCUGACUUGGAAAAUUGUCAAUGAAAAUCUUUUAUCCAGCAAUGAAGGCAACAUAACAUACUAUGAGAUGGCUUACAGUUAUAAUAAUCAAAGUAAUAUGGAAGAGAAAUUGCAAUAUGCAAAUGGAGCUACUCCGUCAGGGACACUGACUGGUUUAUUGAAAGGUGCCGCUUAUAAUGUAGUAGUGUAUGCAAGAAACUCAGGACCAUAUCGAUCACCUCCAUCAAACGAAGUAUUGUUUACAACUAGCACAACAGUACCAGGCAAGGUGACCAGUCUUGGCACAACAAAGGUAACAGAGAACAGUCUCAAUGUUACGUGGGAGGAACCAACAGACACUGGAGGACAGAAUGUACGUAUAGAUGGGUACAGAGUUGAGUACCGUGCUGGUGUAUCAGGAGCUUUCACAAUACUUCAAGAAAAUCAGCAAGAAACAAUGGCUCUUAUUGAAAGACUCAUGCCAAGACAGGAGUACACAGUGAGAGUCACUGCUAGGAAUGUCAACGGUUUUGGUGUACAUGAUGAAAUUAAGAGAACAACAUCGACUGAAGCUGUUACUGUUACUAUCGGCACAACAACUGAGACAACAGUCCAAGUAGUUUGGCAGAUUGGUAACGUCACGGAUUUUGUGACAGAUAUUACUGUACAUUGGGGGACCAAGUUGAGUGAAACUUUAGAAAAAGGGAUAGAGACUUACACCAUAAAACAACUGAAUCCUAAGACUUCAUACACAAUCAGAGUUGUCGUAAGUCUUCUUAAUGGUCAAGAGCGGGAGGCGACUGAAGAAGUUGAAACGAAAGCACUUACUGCCAUCGUACUUCGUCCACCAGAGACGCUUCGUGUUGACAAAGAUGCACUUGGCACGGCUAUAUGUCUAACUUCUAGUGGUGCUCCACCACCACCACCAGUUGAGUGGAGGGUUAAUAAUGAAGUUGUAUCAAGCACAGGGUCCAUUACAGUGCAAGACAACGUCUUGACUGUGACAUACUCAGAAGAGCUAAACGAGGCAAUCAUCGUUUGCAAAGUCAAUGAGAUUACGUCAAACAAAGUUACAGUUGAUAUUCCUGUUGAAGGCAAGAAUAGUGGCCUUUCAGGCGGUACAAUAGCUGCUAUUGCUGUCGGAGUGAUACUUGGAAUUAGCAUAAUGGUUAUCAUUCUAUUGAUCGUUAUGUUGAGGAGAAAACAGUGUGAAGUUGUUUGAAGACUCUAAUUGUAUGUUGAUACGUGGUUUGAACGCUUCAGUUGUUUUGUUACUUGCUUUGUCGGGCUAGUAUAACAGUGGUUAUCUACCAGUAGAGGUUAUUUACAGUGACUUCUUUACAAUGCAGCACAGCUGUCAAGCAUUACUAUAUAUCAUCUCAGUAGCGUACACUGGACAGUGUUUGAGAAAGUGGUCGUCAAGUUGUUAUUUGACGACUAACUGAAUUUUUGUGACAACCAGUUAUACCAGCGAGGUUGCCAUCCUGACGACUAAAGUCACUCAAGCUAGCUAUGGUGGAUCCAAUAAUUUUUUGCUUCUAUGCUGUAGAGUAGAAUAGGUCAGACUGAGAGUCUUGAGA